Molecule: long non-coding RNA, 854 nt
Organism: Ornithorhynchus anatinus (platypus)
Lineage: Eukaryota; Metazoa; Chordata; Mammalia; Monotremata; Ornithorhynchidae
Exons: 6
Source: RefSeq, a predicted model, not a curated record
GGUCCCAAAGUCUUCAAGAUUAGACCAAUGAGAGACUCCAUCACCAUCACUAUUACCAUCACCACCGCUCUGAAUGGACACUCUCAAGGGAUACAACUGAAAAGCCGCUUCUAUUUCUCAAAGUAAAUCUACUGACACGUGAUAUACGGAAUAGCAUGGAGAGGGCUCAUGGGAGCUUCAGACCCCAGCCAACCUGGCUCAGAAGACCCUGACUCAACUUGAGCUUUCAGACUUUGAAGUCGUCACUCCUUAACAACAGAAGAUUAUUCAUGGAAUUCACCAGAAGAUUGGGGGUUUCCUGGAAAAAUACACCCAGUCAGGUCAGUCUGCAGCAUGGAAGAGGACUUGCCCUUGAUUCCACUGCAGUAUCAAAGAUGUUGUGAAGAUCAUAGGCUGGGAUCAGAAACCAGGCCUGAUCUCUCGUCACUAGACCACUCUGCUUCUCUACUAGGAUCACGCUGGACAUUUCCUCUCAAAGACAUCUGCAACCCAGCUUCCUUACCUGCCAAGCCAUCUUCUGCAACAACACUUCACAUACCAGAUAGAACAUGAAUUUGAAGCGUUGAUACUGGACCGUCAAAAGCAGAGCCCGUGAGUCAGCCUGAGUCUUCGGAGCCACUCAAUCUGGUCCCUGUACAUCCACAGAACAUUUGAAUCUGUUUCUGAGCUGUCGAUCAAACACCCAGGCACCUUGCAGGCUGGGCUGUCUCUACCUCCCACUUUGCUGAAUCAACGGUCAUCCUACCAGUAGGUGAGGGUCACCCACGCCGGCAGAAGACAACGCUGUCUCUAGGUGGCAACAGAACAUUCAAAAAAGCCUGAAACUUUGAGGAAGCAGCAUGGUCUAGUGGAAA